RNAcentral lists this ribosomal RNA (440 nucleotides) under uncultured bacterium. RNAcentral's name for it is "partial 16S ribosomal RNA". It matches the Rfam family "Bacterial small subunit ribosomal RNA", at positions 338 to 795 of the family's 1533-position model. The record is from RNAcentral.
CCUACGGGAGGCAGCAGUGGGGAAUAUUGCACAAUGGGGGAAACCCUGAUGCAGCGACGCCGCGUGAGUGAAGAAGUAAUUCGUUAUGUAAAGCUCUAUCAGCAGGGAAGAAAAUGACGGUACCUGAGUCAGAAGCCCCGGCUAACUACGUGCCAGCAGCCGCGGUAAUACGUCGGGGGCAAGCGUUAUCCGGAUUUACUGGGUGUAAAGGGAGCGUAGACGGCAGUGCAAGUCUGGAGUGAAAGGCGGGGGCUCAACCCCCGGACUGCUCUGGAAACUGUACGGCUGGAGUGCAGGAGAGGUAAGUGGAAUUCCUAGUGUAGCGGUGAAAUGCGUAGAUAUUAGGAGGAACACCAGUGGCGAAGGCGGCUUACUGGACUGUAACUGACGUUGAGGCUCGAAAGCGUGGGGAGCAAACAGGAUUAGAUACCCUGGUAGUC